UAAGACGAAGGUGGCUAGCGUUGUUCGGAAUCACUGGGCUUAAAGAGCACGUAGGCGGCUUACCAAGUGUCGUGUGAAAUCCCUCGGCUCAACCGAGGAAUUGCAUGGCAAACUGGUAGGCUUGAGGCAGGUAGGGGCGCAUGGAACUCUUGGUGGAGCGGUGGAAUGCGUAGAUAUCAAGAGGAACGCCGGCGGCGAAAGCGAUGCGCUGGACCUGUCCUGACGCUGAGGUGCGAAAGCCAGGGGAGCGAACGGGAUUAGAUACCCCGGUAGUCCUGGCCCUAAACGAUGUCCACUAGGUCGAUGGCUUUCUGACAAGGUAUCGGCCGAAACAAAAGCGUUAAGUGGACCGCCUGGGGAGUACGGUCGCAAGGCUA
This 377-nucleotide ribosomal RNA is filed under the name uncultured Phycisphaerae bacterium. Its description in RNAcentral is "bacterial SSU rRNA". It matches the Rfam family "Bacterial small subunit ribosomal RNA", at positions 521 to 896 of the family's 1533-position model. Lineage: Bacteria; Pseudomonadati; Planctomycetota; Phycisphaerae. The record is from RNAcentral.